UUGGUGAUAGGAUUGACUAAACUCGCCACGUCCUGUGGCAAUAUCAAUCGAUCCUACGUCCUGUAAG
RNAcentral lists this small RNA (67 nucleotides) under Halobacillus alkaliphilus. RNAcentral's name for it is "Bacillaceae-1 RNA". The stretch from base 9 to 67 matches the Rfam family "Bacillaceae-1 RNA", at positions 9 to 67 of the family's 67-position model. The record is from RNAcentral. Lineage: Bacteria; Bacillati; Bacillota; Bacilli; Caryophanales; Bacillaceae.